UGGGGAAUUUUGGACAAUGGGCGAAAGCCUGAUCCAGCAAUGCCGCGUGUGUGAAGAAGGCCUUCGGGUUGUAAAGCACUUUUGUCCGGAAAGAAAUCCUUGGCUCUAAUACAGUCGGGGGAUGACGGUACCGGAAGAAUAAGCACCGGCUAACUACGUGCCAGCAGCCGCGGUAAUACGUAGGGUGCAAGCGUUAAUCGGAAUUACUGGGCGUAAAGCGUGCGCAGGCGGUUUGCUAAGACCGAUGUGAAAAUCCCCGGGCUCAACCUGGGAACUGCAUUGGUGACUGGCAGGCUAGAGUAUGGCAGAGGGGGGUAGAAUUCCACGUGUAGCAGUGAAAAUGCGUAGAGAUGUGGAGGAAUACUGAUGGCGAAGGCAGCCCCCUGGGCCAAGUACUGACGCUCAUGCACGAAAAGCGUGGGGAGCAAAACAGGAUUAGAUACCCUGGUAGUCCACGCCCUAAAACGAUGUCAACUAGUUGUUGGGGAUUCAUUUCCUUAGUAACGUAGCU
RNAcentral lists this ribosomal RNA (511 nucleotides) under uncultured bacterium. RNAcentral's name for it is "partial 16S ribosomal RNA". It matches the Rfam family "Bacterial small subunit ribosomal RNA", at positions 355 to 853 of the family's 1533-position model. The record is from RNAcentral.